GUCGACGAGCGAGAGAGAGCUUGCUUUCUCGAGCGAGUGGCGAACGGGUGAGUAACGCGUGAGGAACCUGCCUCAAAGAGGGGGACAACAGUUGGAAACGACUGCUAAUACCGCAUAAGCCCACGGGUCGGCAUCGACCAGAGGGAAAAGGAGCAAUCCGCUUUGAGAUGGCCUCGCGUCCGAUUAGCUAGUUGGUGAGGUAAUGGCCCACCAAGGCGACGAUCGGUAGCCGGACUGAGAGGUUGAACGGCCACAUUGGGACUGAGACACGGCCCAGACUCCUACGGGAGGCAGCAGUGGGGAAUAUUGCACAAUGGGGGAAACCCUGAUGCAGCGACGCCGCGUGGAGGAAGAAGGUCUUCGGAUUGUAAACUCCUGUUGUUGGGGAAGAUAAUGACGGUACCCAACAAGGAAGUGACGGCUAACUACGUGCCAGCAGCCGCGGUAAAACGUAGGUCACAAGCGUUGUCCGGAAUUACUGGGUGUAAAGGGAGCGCAGGCGGGAAGACAAGUUGGAAGUGAAAUCUAUGGGCUCAACCCAUAAACUGCUUUCAAAACUGUUUUUCUUGAGUAGUGCAGAGGUAGGCGGAAUUCCCGGUGUAGCGGUGGAAUGCGUAGAUAUCGGGAGGAACACCAGUGGCGAAGGCGGCCUACUGGGCACCAACUGACGCUGAGGCUCGAAAGUGUGGGUAGCAAACAGGAUUAGAUACCCUGGUAGUCCACACCGUAAACGAUGAUUACUAGGUGUUGGAGGAUUGACCCCUUCAGUGCCGCAGUUAACACAAUAAGUAAUCCACCUGGGGAGUACGACCGCAAGGUU
RNAcentral lists this ribosomal RNA (820 nucleotides) under uncultured bacterium. RNAcentral describes it as "bacterial SSU rRNA". It matches the Rfam family "Bacterial small subunit ribosomal RNA", at positions 61 to 895 of the family's 1533-position model. The record is from RNAcentral.